RNAcentral lists this ribosomal RNA (253 nucleotides) under uncultured bacterium. Its description in RNAcentral is "partial 16S ribosomal RNA". It matches the Rfam family "Bacterial small subunit ribosomal RNA", at positions 524 to 776 of the family's 1533-position model. The record is from RNAcentral.
UACGAAGGGGGCUAGCGUUGCUCGGAAUUACUGGGCGUAAAGGGCGCGUAGGCGGCUCUCUAAGUCAGGGGUGAAAUCCUGGAGCUCAACUCCAGAACUGCCUUUGAUACUGGGGAGCUUGAGUUCGGGAGAGGUGAGUGGAACUGCGAGUGUAGAGGUGAAAUUCGUAGAUAUUCGCAAGAACACCAGUGGCGAAGGCGGCUCACUGGCCCGAUACUGACGCUGAGAGGCGAAAGCUAGGGGAGCAAAUGGG